GACGAACGCUGGCGGCGUGCUUAACACAUGCAAGUCGAACGGAAAGGCCCUGCUUUUGUGGGGUGCUCGAGUGGCGAACGGGUGAGUAACAAGUGAGUAACCUGCCCUUGACUUUGGGAUAACUUCAGGAAACUGGGGCUAAUACCGGAUAGGAGCUCCUGCUGCAUGGUGGGGGUUGGAAAGUUUCGGCGGUUGGGGAUGGACUCGCGGCUUAUCAGCUUGUUGGUGGGGUAGUGGCUUACCAAGGCUUUGACGGGUAGCCGGCCUGAGAGGGUGACCGGCCACAUUGGGACUGAGAUACGGCCCAGACUCCUACGGGAGGCAGCAGUGGAGAAUAUUGCACAAUGGGCGGAAGCCUGAUGCAGCAACGCCGCGUGCGGGAUGACGGCCUUCGGGUUGUAAACCGCUUUCGCCUGUGACGAAGCGUGAGUGACGGUAAUGGGUAAAGAAGCACCGGCUAACUACGUG
Molecule: ribosomal RNA, 468 nt
Filed under: uncultured bacterium
Lineage: Bacteria
Description: partial 16S ribosomal RNA
Rfam family: Bacterial small subunit ribosomal RNA
Source: RNAcentral